CGCCGUGCCUCCUUCCACCCGGCCGCGGGACGGGCUGCCAGGAGUGCUGCGGGCCGAGCUGUGCUGGAGGCGAGCUCCGCUCCGCCCGGCCCGGCGGCAGCGCUGGGGCGCAGCACGGCGGGGAGCCCGGCGCGGACGGACGGGACCGACCCCGCUUGCAGAGCGCGGCAGGAACGGAGUAGGAAACCUCUGUGCGGUGACAAGCCCCAACAUCACAGCCCUACUAAGCCCGCAAACUACUCGGUGAUAGAUGCCUAAGACAACACCUUUUAGGUAUUUAGGCCUCAGUUAGCUGCAGCUGUUGUUUUUUCAUGCCAUUCAUACCGAGGAACUCACUCAAGUUUGCAAGAAUUUUGUACUCAGUCUCAGAUUACGACUUCAUAUAAAAUGAAGGCUCUAAACCAAAUACUUUCUCAAAAAUUAAUUUAAACUUAUUAAUUUUAUAAAAGUCAAUCUUUUACUAAAAAAGUCGACUUUAACAAAAUCAGAAUUGUAUGCUUAUGAAAAUCUAUUCCCUUCUUUGGCAGCAAUCAUAUAAGUUGUCCCUUAUUGUCUAGUUCAUGGCUAAAACAAUAAAAUUUCUGCUUAUUUUG
Long non-coding RNA from Haemorhous mexicanus (house finch), 593 nucleotides. RefSeq lists it as uncharacterized. Lineage: Eukaryota; Metazoa; Chordata; Aves; Passeriformes; Fringillidae. The transcript is spliced from 2 exons. The record is from RefSeq and is a predicted model, not a curated record.